AGAAAAGACAUCAGUUGUUGGUGAGGAUAUGGAGAAAGGGGAACACUCUUGCGCUGCAGGUUGGAAUGCAAACUCGUGCAGCCACUUAGGUAUGGUUUAUUUAAGGAAAAUGUUAGAGAGUAUUCCUUCUAUGGUUACUUGUUGUUCUCAUUUCUGUGUACUAUUUAGGGCACUGUCAUCAGGUGAAGAUUAUUCUUUAUGAUGACUAGAGUAAAAAAGGUUGACAACCAAUAUAAAUGGAUAUUUAAAGAUAUGGACUUGAAUUUACCCUGUUAAAAUGAAAACAAUACAAUAACAAAAACAAACAAAAACAAAAACAGUUUACUCAACCAAAUGACCUAAUUCACAUUGAGAUUCCACUCUGAAAAUAAUGUUCAUAUGUAGAAAAAUAACCUAGGCUGUGAUUGCCUUCGAAUGCCAGGAUUUUUAUUUUCUUCCUUAUCCUUAUUUUGUCUUUCUAAAUAGCACAUCAAGCUACUGGAAAAUGUAACAUGGUUUGUAAGCUGCUUAGAGUUUGGAUUCAGGAUCCACAAGAUAGUGUGUGCCAAGGUUAGGCAAGGACCUUAGGCAAGGACCAUCUCCUCCUGCAGUUCCAUCCUGGUCAUGGAAAUGUUGUGGUGAAAUGCUGGCUUCCAGGCUGAGAUAUUCCCUGUUGUCCACCUGGACAAAUCUAUUCUUUUCUCAGACCUCGAUGGCAGGGCCACUUAGGGUCAUAGUCCAGGCUAGGAUUAGGAAAAGGACCCAGGAGGCACUGGGAGUUGAACUACCAGCAGCACAGUGGUCUCCAAGGUGGGCUGGGUUGAGGGCGCAUGGUCUGAUACGAGUCAGGCUUAAGAUUUGAAUUCCAGAGCCACAGGAUUGUGUGGACCAGGGUUAGACAAAGUCUUGGGAUCCCCUCCAGCAGCUCUAUUCCAGCCAUGGAAAUGUCAUGGCAAUAUUCUGGCUUCCACACUGAGAUAUUCCCCGUUGGCCACUGGGACAACAUCUAUUCUUUUCCCAAACUUCCAUGUGGGCCCCCGUAGGACCAGAGCACUGCCAAAUGUUCAGGUUAGGUCCCAGGAGGCACCAGGGCCUAAAAGCUCAGUAGUGCAGUGGUCUCCCCAGAACACUGAGUUGAAGGCACAUGGUAGGGUGCGGGUCAGGCUUAAUCUUUGGGUUCCAGGGCAGGUCUUAUCCAUGGCAAAGCUUAGAUUUGCCUUCAUGAUGCCCUGUGAACAGUUCCUUCCCUGCUUUGGAAAUUGCAUAGCGAUUUUCCAAAUCCCAUGUUGAAUAUUCUUGCACUGUUUGUGGGCCCCAAAACUGUUCUGCUCUUAGACCAAGGAAUUGUACCCCCAUCAUGAAAGAGCAUUGGCUAGUGUUAUGGUUAGGUCCUGGAAGUUUUCAGGUACAGAACCAUACUAGUCCAGUGAUCUCCCAGAAGGGCAUAUUUGAGUGUGACUAUUAGUGUGCUGGACAGGCACAGGAUUUGGGUGCAGUGGAUGGCCCCAUUAUGUGUUCCAUGCUUAGCACUUUGCCCCACUUUCAGGCUUUAGAAAACCCAUGGUCAACUCCAGUGUUACUCGCUGAGUAUUUCAACACCCAUCAUGUGGUCCAAAUCUGUUCUUUUGGUAAAAGGCGGGCCCUCUUAGAAGCAGAGCCAUGGCUAAGGUUAAGGAUGGCUCCCUGGAAGUGCCAGAGACACAAACAACAACAAUGUGGUCAUCUGCCUUGAAGGCUGAGUUGAGGGUGCAUGGUUGGGUACAUGUCAACUUUUGGGUUUAAAUACAGGAGCCAGAAGAUUUGUGGGCCAAAGUUAUGUAAGGUCUCGGCAUCAUCUCGUGCAGAUCCACCCCUCCUUUGGAAAUGUCACGGUGAAAUUCUGACUUUCACCCUGAGAUAUUCCCCAUUGGUCAUUGAACCUAAAUCUGUUCUUUUUGCACAUGUCCAUGUUGGGCUCCCUUAUGGCCAGAGCCUUGGCUGGGAUUAUCAUAAGGUCCCUGGAGGCUCCAAGGGCUGAAACCCCAACAGCACAGGGUUCUUCUCCCUGGGGACUGUGGUGAGGGCGCAUGUCAGGGUGUGAGUCAGGUUUUGCCUUUGUGUUCAAGGACCAGCCCAAGGUAUGUGCCAAGCUUAGCUUUGGCCUCAGGAUCCCCCUUGGGAAUCUCCAUCCUUGUUUUGCAAAUGGUCUGAUGAGUUUACAAGUUCCAUGCUGAAUAAUCUUGCACUGGUUAUGGGCACCAAAUCUAUUUUCUAUUCUCAGACCUACAGAUUGGUCCCCCAUAGGGAAAGAGCCUUGGCUAGGGUCAGGGUUAGGUCCAGGAAACUUCAGGAACAGAACCUACACCAAUACAGGGAUUUCCCAGGAGGGGUGAGUAAGUGCACCUGUUAGGGUGCGUAACAAUAAUAGGCUUUGGGUGCAGUGAACAGCCAAUUGUGUGUUCCAGGCUUAGAUUUAGGCACUGGAUCCUCUUUGAAGCUCCAUUCAGGGCCUGGAAAUCCCAAGGUCAAAUUCAGCAUACCUCACUCAAUAUUUCAGCACCCAUCAUGAGUCCCAAGUCUGUUCUUUUUUCAGACCUAGGACGUGAUCCCUCUCAGAAGCAGAGACAUGGCUAGGGUUAGGGUUGGCUCACAGGAAGUGCUAGGGGCACAACCACCAACAGUGCCUUGAAUUUGCUGGAGGGCUGAGUUGAGUGCUCAAGGGAGGCUGUGGGUCAGGCUUAGUCUUCGGGUUCAAGGGCCAGCCUAUGAUGUGGGCCAAGCUCAGGUUGGGCUUCAGGAUCCCCCUUGUGCAGCUCCAUCCUUACUUUGGAUAUGACAUGGUGAUUUCACAACAUCCAUGCUGAAUAAUCUGCAUCUGUUAUGGGCCCCAUAUCCAUUCCUUUCAGACCUGCAAAUUUGGCCCCCAUAAGUAAAGAUCCUUGGCUAGGGUCAGGGUUAGGUCCCAGGAGGUUUCAGGGACAGAACUGAUACCAGUGCACAGAUCUCCCUGGAAGGCUGAAUUGACCAUGCCUGAUAGAGUGUGGGAGAGGCAUGAGGAUUGGGUGCAUUGGACAGCCAAUUUUGAAUGCCAGGCUCAGCAUUUUUUGUAAACAUAACCCAAUUCUUGUCCUUAAUGAAGAACUCUUGCUUUAGGUAUAUCAAGUUUAAUGACAUUGUUUAUUAUCCAUCAAGAUCUUCUCAGGGUCUAUACAAAUUCAGUCUUUCAGAGUACUAUCUCUGGCUUGGAGAUGUCCAAUGUGGAUCAGCCCUUGUGACUGUGGGGUAGGUUGAGCCAAAUGAACCCUGACCUUCUGGUUUCAGGACUACUUCGACAUGUAGAGCCAUAGGGCCUUGGCAGUGGUCCACCCGAGACCAGUUUGUUUGGAGGCUGGGCCAGACAGUAUUAGAAGGGAGCUGGCAUCCUUGCUGCACCUAGGGGACAUGAAGAAACACAUCUCCAUGCCACAUUGGUUUCACUCCCAUUGUGGAAAUAUUGAAUGCCCUUUGGUCAUGGCUGUAGCCAUUCCAUCACCCUUACUGUGUCUCUGACUCUGCCUUCAUUCAUGCUUAGGAGCCAUGGAGCUGGCACACACUCAGUGGGCUCCUAGGGAUGGAUGUUGUGUUCUCACUGUCCCGUGCUCAGUGACAGCCAUCAGCAUCGUAUAUACCAAAUGAGAAUAGCCCUCCUAUUCCUGAGCUUAGUGCUUGGCUGUUUUUAGCAAGGGGUGGGGGGAGUGUAGACAGCUUGACCCAUUGCUCUGCCUGAUUGAGGUUUCUUCCCCCUGAAAGGCAGACAGUUCACACAAGAGCAGUAGCUGGUGAGCUGGUGAGCUCCAGAAGCUGGUGAGCCCAGAAACUUCCCUUGACAGGAAGUGGGCACCAAUGCCUCUCUCCACACUUUGGAGCCACAUCUGGGGCACCUCCCAGCUAAAACACUGUCAGAGCUCACUCCAGUCAAUGAUGGAGAAAGCAAGAAAGGCAGACCAAGUCCCAGGGCUCUCUAGGUCCUUCUGAAGGCAGAAGUCAGGCCUGGUGCCAACACAGCUCCCAAAUGGAGAUUCUAGGGAGCAUAUUUCCCUAAGACCUCUGGUGUUUCUUCUUCUUCCCACAGCCAUGUUACCAGAGCUCUUGCUGGGCACUCACUUUUCCAUAGAAUUCCCCUUCCAAUCUUUGAAGAGUUCUGGUUUUCCUUAUUCAACUUCACACAUCUUUGCUCCUUCUCUAAAAACAAGGUUCUUCCCACAAUCCGUUCAGAGUCAAUGUCUCCAGGUCCUAUCCUCUGCCUUCCACCUGGGAGUCUGGUCCAGUCCUUGUGACUGGUGGAGAGAUUUUGCCACAGGGCUCCUAUUCAAAAGCCUUGUGACUGGCUUUCAGAAGGAUACAGCCAUUCAGGGCAUUUUUAGCGGCCAAGCAAAGGAUGUUUCAUAUGUAGGCUGGGCCAGAGGUCUGGCCAGGGAGCUGGUAUCUUUCUGGGCUGAGAGCAAAUGAAACAAGACAUCUUCUUUCCAAGUGUAUCCCCAUUCCCACUGGAAGUGUUGAGCUUUGGCUCUCCUUGCAUUUCCUUUUCCUUUCUGUAUUUUGAUAAUUUUUUCUCCCUUAGGAGCCACGGGGCCAUCACUCACUCAGCUGGCACUACUGGGUAGGCUACAAACUCCCACUAUGCUCCUGUGCUAAGUGAGAGCUAUCAGGCUUUGUUCUACCAAAGGAAAGAAAACCUUUACUCCCUUGGUGCUUGGUGGUUGGCCUGCUGUGCUAUGUAAGGUAAAGGGGAGCCAGCUUGCCUGACUGACCUGGACGAUUGAGUUUUCUUCAUUCUGAGAAGCAGAAAGUUAGCACAUGGGCAACAUGAAUGGGAGGGGGUCAGCACUAGAAGAGCCCUUGCCAGGAUGGAGGGAACCAAAUCCUUGUUCCAGAAUCCUGAGCAAGAGCCAGCAGAACCCAACAGCUACAGCUCAAACACUGCUGCCUCGCUCAACUGAUUGAAAAAGGGGGAGGGAUACCCAAAGCCAUAAUUCACUGGUUCCUAUGGAAAAAAAUGCAGGCUUCUUGCUGACAGGGCUCCCAGAUGUAGUCCUUCAGAGGCUUCUUUUGUCCUAAGCCCACAGGCAUUUCUUAUUCCGGAUAUAACUUGGUUGAGAGGAGACUGCACUGGGUACUUCAUUCUCAACAUUCUCCAAAUCUCAUGCGUGAUGAAGAACUCUCGCAGUCUGUGUCUCCAUCUCCACCACUUAACCCUUUUUGUGAAGAAACAUUCUGCAUAUAAUUUAUUCAGAGCCAGUUUCUCAGAGCAAUGUCCUCUUGUUUCAGCUUGGGAAUUUGGUGGUAUCUUUGUGAUGUUGAUAUAGGUAUUGCUCUGGGUCCUUCUUAAUUUCAUUUUAUAAUUACGUGGCCACCCCAAACCUAAGGUGUGUAAAGAUGCCCACGGAGAAUCCUUGAGGGUAGUUUAAGCCAGCCAGUGUUUAGGGGAGGAUCCUGCAUCCUGGGUGGGACAAGAGGAAGGGAUGUUAGAGAUAUCUCCUUCCUCAAUUAGACCUGUGCCCAUUUGAAUGGAGAACUUUGGCCUUGUAGUCAUUCCUCUCCCAUUGCUGCUUUUCUAACUUGCUCUCUGUUCACACAGAAAGACAAUGUGGCUGUCUAUACCCAGCCAUGUUCCAAGGAUUGGAAGUCAGUUUCAGUCAGUUCCUGAGCCAGUGGAGGACUCUCAGAGUCUGAUGUCUCAGAGAACAACUGACCCUCAUGUCCUCAAACUCUUCUUGCUUAGCGGGCUAUUAUAGGAAUAGUGAAUAACUGCUCUUCUUUUGAAUCAAGGGAUUCCCUGGAAUCCUUUCAGAGCCAGUGUCUCAGAGUCAUAUCUUUUCCUAUUAAGCAGGGAGUCUGGAACAAUUUUGGUGAGUGUGCAAUAGGUUUGGUCACAGGGACUUUGGGAGUUGUGUUUCAGAAUUUGUAGACAUCGCCAGGCCUAGAGCAUUUGCAGGUGCCCACUGGAAAAUGCUUGUGUGUAGGCUAAGCCAGAGGUUUUAGGAAGGGAACCAUCCUACUAUCUGCAUCAAGACUUAAUUAAGAAAGAUAUCUCCUUUGCAGAUGGAUGCUAUUCUCUUUGGAGAUGAAGAACUUUGUCACUGCUUGUACUCAUACACAUCCCAUUGCUGAUUUUCUAGCUAGGUCUCAGUUCAUGUUCCAGGACCAUAGGGCUGUUAUUAACACAGCCAUGACUAUAUGAAUGGUGCCAGGUUCCCAGUCAGUUUCUGUAAAUUGAAGGUUCUCUGGGUCUAAUAUCUAAGAGGAAACCUGGCCCUUCUGUCCCUGAGCACAUGGUGUUGCUUAGCUGGCUAGUGUAUGCACAAGCAUCACUAUCCAGUUGCCCUCCCUCCCCUCACUAAUAUAGAUCCAUUCAUUUUGAAGAACAGGCAGUUUUCAUGUGGGCAUGAUGCUCCAAGAUCUGAUCACCACAUAAAGUCCCCUUGGAUGGAAUCCUGUACCAUGUACUGCUUCCAAACACUUACCCAUCGGCUGGGAGUACAUCCCUGCUACAGCUGUAUCACCACUGCCCCUAUGUCCUGAUGGCAAGGAUAGAGCACAUAAGUAGAACCAGGUCUUUCCCUCUGAUUCUGAAAAAACAAGAUCGGAAGGCUUCUUGAUGACAGGGCUUUCAGGUGGAACUUAUACAUGGCACUGUUGGCCAAAUCCUGCUGGCGUUUCUCUUUCCUGAGUCAGUCAGUGAACUGGGGAAGACUGUGCUAGUCACAUAACUUCCUAUAUUAUCUCAUUCUUAUCUCUGAUGCAGACUUCUUGGAUUCCCUCUAUGUGUUUUCACCCCUUUGCUCUAUUUUAGUGCUGAGCCCAUGCUGGGGUCCAUUCCAUGUGAUUGUCUUACUGUCAUAUCCUGGGCUCUCCACUGGGGUUCUGGUCCAUUUAUUGUGAGUGUGGCAUAUGUUGUCCCAAAGGGCCCCAGGGUCUUUACAGGAUAGACUUCCCUAUAUGCUUGUUCAUCUCUGCAUGAGUCUCAAACUCAGGUUUCUGGCCAAGUAGGCCUAUGUUUUUCUUUUUGUUUUGCCAUGAACAGAUCCUCAGAGCCUCUUGGGUUUUGAAACAUCUUGAAAAGACAAGAAUAACUAUAAAAUGGGAAGGUGUUACAGUGUCUGAAUGAUGCUCAGACCUUGAACUCCUAGAGGGAAGACGUGGCUGCCUUACCAGCACUGGCACUAUGUGAAUGCUCAGAUGCUCAUUCCCAGUGGCUGACUGAAGAGUAGUCCGUGUUACCGCCACUGCUCCUAGAAUGCUGAGAGGCUUGGGGAGUACUGGUGAGACACCUCGGGACACUUUGGUGGUGGUGCCUGGAGACAUUUGUGGAAGUCCAGGAGUUCCUAGGUGUCCCCAAUCCAUGAAUGUCCCUGUCCUGCACAAACCAGACUAGAUGCACAGUGGCUCUGAGGGGAUGAAGACUUGGCAGUCUAGUCAGCGACUAACCUGGAUGCGGCAGGUUCCUGAAAGUACCACAUGAUCUCUGCUUGUUUCCCUCCUCUCUUCCUUUGCCAUUUGAACACCCACCAUACAUGAAGAGGCUCAGGUGAUUGAUGUCUGAGAACAGGAUGCUGACUGUUCCCUCAGGUAAGAGUUAAGUGCCAGACCUGGGCAAACCAUUUUGAGUACCUCCUAGCUCAUGUAUUUUAAUUGCCUCUUUGUGGAGUGUAAACCUCUUAGACCUUAACCUAGAGGAUCUUGGUGCAGAAAAGCUUAGCAGAUGGAGGGGAAAAUGGAAACAGAGUUGGAUAUAGAUGUUAGCCUCAGGGGAAAGAAUGUGGUUUGAGUUGGGAAAUGAGGAGGUGGGUAAAGGGAAGGUGCAUAUAUGUAUCAGGUGGCCCUCCUGCCAUCUCACUCCCUCUAUCUCCAUAGUAAAGAAACAUGAACAAAUAUUAACAGAAAGUUCCCCAGGGCAGGUGCUGGCCCCGGUCACAGCCAUUCAUUCGCUUUGUAAUUAACUCGAUGGUGUUACUUUAGCAUUAUUGAGUAUUUGAGUAUUAUUAUUUGAGGAGCACUGGGUUCAUGUACAGCCACCUCCCUGGGAAACCAGCUUUGCAAAAGCUUCCUGGGUCUCUUGAGGGGUGACAGGGAGGUGUCCACCUUGGGAGGAGACACCUGCCAGUCCCUGUCCCACUGGCCUGGUCUCUGGAGC
Felis catus (domestic cat) is the source of this 8131-nucleotide long non-coding RNA. RefSeq lists it as uncharacterized. The record is from RefSeq and is a predicted model, not a curated record. Lineage: Eukaryota; Metazoa; Chordata; Mammalia; Carnivora; Felidae. The transcript is spliced from 4 exons.